RNAcentral lists this long non-coding RNA (4070 nucleotides) under Podarcis lilfordi (Lilford's wall lizard). The record is from RNAcentral. Lineage: Eukaryota; Metazoa; Chordata; Lepidosauria; Squamata; Lacertidae.
AGAUACAGACGAUCCUUUAAGCAACCCCCUGCAGGUGACCACGAUCGAUGGCAGGGAGCUGUUGGGAGGAGAAGUCAGCUUGCAGACCGUCCCAAUGAUAAUGAAGGUAGCAAGGCACACCGAACUGAUAGCUUUUAAUGUGGCCACCUUGGGAGGAGCUCCCAUUAUAUUGGGGAUGAGCUGGCUAGCGUUACAUGAUCCGCUGGUGGGCUGGCAUCAGAGAGUGGUUUCUUUUGGUUCAGCACAUUGCUUAGAACACUGCAAAGAGGGAAAGGGUUUGGCAGGGGCCCAAGCCACCCUAGCAGGGACUGAAGUAACGGAGAACGUGAAGGUACCACGACAAUAUGCAGAUCUCCGUGACGUCUUCAGCGAAAGGGAAGCUGACCAACUACCCCCGCAUAGACCCUUUGACUGUCAAAUCAAUUUACUCCCUGGGGCACAGCUCCCUGUAGGCAAGCUGUACGCCAUGUCAGACAGAGAGAUGCAGGAGCUAAGAGAGUUCAUUGACAAGAACCUGAAGAGAGGGUUCAUCAGAGAGUCCAGGGCGGUGGGGGCAGCCCAGUGUUUUUUGUGGAUAAAAACACGAACAAGCCGAGGCUGGUGUGUGACUUCAGGGCCUUAAAUGCAGUGUCAGAACCAGUGGCCUUCCCUAUGCCCAGGAUUGACGACAUUUUGACAAGGGUGCGGAAGGGAAAGAUUUUCACAAAGCUGGACCUAAGGGGGGCGUACAACCUGGUACGAAUAAGGAAGGGGGAUGAAUGGAAAACCACCAUGUUCACCCCUUUAGGGGCAUUUGAAUAUUUGGUUAUGCCCUUCGGCCUACAAGCAGGCUCCGCAACCUUUCAAUCGUUUAUGAACCACGUCCUGGGGCCUUUGCUUUACAAGAAUUGUGUGGCCUUUUUAGACGACGUGUUGGUGUAUUCUGAGAAUGAGGAGCAGCAUGUGAGAGACGUCAGAGAAGUGUUGAGCAGGCUGCAAGCCAACCAGCUGUGGGUGAAACUGGAGAAGUGUCAGUUUCAUACCAAGGAGGUGGAAUUCCUGGGGUAUCGCCUGUCAGACAAGGGAUUGGCCAUGGAUCCCGGCAAGGUCCAGGCGGUGCUGGAAUGGAAAACACCCAAAACAAGGAAGGAUGUGCAGAGGUUCCUAGGAUUUGGGAACUUCUAUCGUAAGUUCAUCCGAAACUUUGCCCACCUGACGGCGCCCAUUACGGACUGUCUCAGCAGUAAGAAGAAGUUCGCGUGGACUGAGGAGGCGGAGCGAGCAUUUGAGGAACUAAAAAGGGCCUUCGCCUGGAACAACAACUCCUGCAUGUGGAUUUACAAAACCGAUGAGAGUGGAAACUGACGCAUCAGACAGAGCGAUUGGGGCGGUGCUUCUGCAGCCAGGCAAGGAGGAGUCAGAGUGGAGACCGUGUGCCUUUUUUCGCGAAAGCUGAACAAAUCCGAGAGGAACUACACGGUGUAUGACCGAGAACUACUAGCCAUUCAUGAGGCGUUCCGGAGAUGGAGGCACCUGCUAAUUGGCGCACAACAUAAGGUGCAAGUGUGCACUGACCACAAGAACCUAGAGUAUUGGAGGACGGCACGAGUGCUCAACCAACGGCAAGUGAGAUGGGCCCAGGAGUUCUCCAAAUUUAACUUUGAGAUUUGUUACGUGCCAGGCCCAGAGAACAUUAGGGCGGACGCUCUCUCACGCAAACCUGAAUAUUUGGAGGGGGAGGGAGCACCCGAAGAGAGACAUGUCAUUCCAGAGGACCGCUGGGUGUGUGGGGCGGCAUUGGUGGGACAAAGAGAACUGGUAGAGGAAACAGAGAAUGAUGAAUACGCCCAGAAUAAGCUCAGAGGUCUUAGGGGUGAGGGAGAGGAACCAGGGGGUUUCGAGGAAAGAAAUGGAGCUUUGUAUUACAAAGGGGCACUGUAUAUCCCUGAAGGAGACUUAAGGGGAGGGUACUCAAGCAGUUGCACGACAGCCCUACGGCGGGGCAUUUUGGACAACACAAAACCAUGUGGUUGGUCACCAGGGAAUUUUGGUGGCCCAAGGUGAGGGAAGAUGUACGUGAGUAUGUAAGAGGGUGCGAGCAAUGCCAGCGAGCCAAAGGGGAAAGGCGGGCGCCGGCGGGGCUAUUAGAACCCUUACCAACCCCAGAACGACCUUGGGAGGCAGUGUCGAUAGAUUUUAUGACUGAUCUGCCGAAGUCCAAAGGGAAAACAGCCAUCAUGGUGGUGGUGGACCUACUAACAAAGAUGUGCCACUUUGUAGCUUGCUCGCAUGCAGUCACGGCGGAAGAGACAGCGAAGUUAUUUGUAGAACACAUUUUUAGGUUGCACGGGGUGCCAUUGAGGGUGGUCUCAGACCGAGGAAAACAAUUUACUUCCAGGUUCUGGAGGAAGCUCAUGAGCUUACUGCAGGUGGAGGUCAAUUUUUCGACUGCCCGGCACCCUGAAACCAACGGGCAGGCGGAAAGAGCAAACGGUGUCCUCCAGCAAUACCUGAGGUGUUAUGUCAAUGACAGAGAGAAUGACUGGGUAGAAAAGUUGGCGCUGGCGGAAUUUGCCUACAACAAUGCCGAGAAUGUGUCCACAGGGAUGAGCCCCUUCUUGGCUAAUUAUGGGUGUCAUCCCAGGGCUUUCCCAGGGGGAGAUGGGGAGAGAUGGAGCGUCCCGGCAGCCGAGCAUUUUGUAGAAGAAAUGGAAGCAAUCCAUUGUCAGCUCCAACUCAACUUAGAAAGGGCGAAGGAAGAAUACAAGAGGCAAGCAGACAAGAACCGAAGGGAAGGUGAAACCAUAAGGGUGGGAGAUAGGGUGUGGCUGUCAACCCAAGGGCUGCUGCUCAAAGGAGGUUGUAAGAAAUUAAGACCCAGGAGGUUGGGUCCCUUUGAGGUCAUUCAACAGGUCAACCCAGUGGCUUUCAGGCUCCGGUUACCCAACCACAUGAAACUGCACCCAGUAUUUCACAGGUCGUUACUGUCACCGUACGAAGGGGGACGAGAAGGGAUGGCCACUGGGACCGGUCAUAGAAGAAAGAGAAUGCAGCAGCCAUGUGGCAGAAAUCCUCGACGCCAGGUGGAAGGGGAAUCAGGUGGAGUAUUUGGUAGCGUGGGAAGGAGAACCGGAGUCAGAAAACACUUGGGUAAUGGCCGAAGAUAUCAAUGACGAGGUAUUGAUAGAAACGUUCCAUCAAAGGUUCCCAAGGAAACCUCAGCCUGUGGAGAGGUUCCGGAGGGAAUACUUUGGGACCACUGAUGAGGAGGAGGAGUUGGAAGGCUUCCCGGACUCGGAAGGGGAAGGGGAGAUGGACUCUGAGGAGGAGGAGUACUUCGAGACCAGGAACCGCAACAGGUGGAGAGAAGUGUUCGAGACAUCGGAAGAUGAAGGAAGUUCAUUCCGGGUUUUGCCUCCUCACCGCCCGUAGAGGAGGGGGCGAGAGGGGGUGAAGGGGGCCCUGGGGGGAGGUGGAUGUCAGGGAACUGCCAUCGGACGGAAGGGAGGUGAAAGGGCUCACACAGGUUGGGAGAGACUCAGCAGCUGAAGAGGGAACCAGUAGGGGGAGAGGAGCUGAGCGGAGGGAAAGUGAGCUGGAGGGAUGGCUCAGAGACACUUCCAGCGAAAACAGUGGGGAGGUUUCAGGACCUCCUGUAGGGACACCCACUCCUCGCCGGAAACUGACACGCAGAGGGUCCAGAAGACGUGUUUCCGUUAAGGAGCUUUUAUGUUGGAAGCGAUUACGAAAGCAACCACUGUCGGAAUCUGCUAGUGACUAGAGGAGCCAUGUCUGAGGGGCUCCGUCACAGACAGAGGUUUGUGGACUUGAACAAACUCUGAGGGGAUACGAUUUUACGCACAAGCAGCUCAUCAUCCCAUCACACAGAGGAAACGAUGAGGACAGAAACGAAAAUAGAUAUGGUGCUGAACAAAAGACAAAUAAUGGAGAACUGGAUAGCAGGGAUGUUAUAUAAACUGAUGAUAAGCGACAAAGAAAGAAUGAUAAGGAUAAUUCAGAUUAAAUGGGAGCAGGAAGGUAUGAUUCAUCCAAACACGGCUCAAGAACUGAUGAAGAAUAUAAACAAUAUU